UACGUAGGGUGCGAGCGUUAAUCGGAAUUACUGGGCGUAAAGCGUGCGCAGGCGGCGCGUUAAGACAGGUGUGAAAGCCCCGAGCUUAACUUGGGAAUUGCGCUUGUGACUGGCGUGCUGGAGUGUGGCAGAGGGAGGUGGAAUUCCACGUGUAGCAGUGAAAUGCGUAGAGAUGAUGGAGGAACACCGAUGGCGAAGGCAGCUCUCUGGGACGGUACUGACACUGAGACGCGAAAGCGUGGGGAGCGAACAGG
Molecule: ribosomal RNA, 254 nt
Filed under: uncultured bacterium
Lineage: Bacteria
Description: partial 16S ribosomal RNA
Rfam family: Bacterial small subunit ribosomal RNA
Source: RNAcentral